AACGAACGCUGGCGGCAGGCUUAACACAUGCAAGUCGAGCGCCCCGCAAGGGGAGCGGCAGACGGGUGAGUAACGCGUGGGAAUCUACCUUUUGCUACGGGAUAACUCAGGGAAACUUGUGCUAAUACCGUAUGUGCCCUUCGGGGGAAAGAUUUAUCGGCAAAGGAUGAGCCCGCGUUGGAUUAGCUAGUUGGUGAGGUAAAGGCUCACCAAGGCGACGAUCCAUAGCUGGUCUGAGAGGAUGAUCAGCCACACUGGGACUGAGACACGGCCCAGACUCCUACGGGAGGCAGCAGUGGGGAAUAUUGGACAAUGGGCGCAAGCCUGAUCCAGCCAUGCCGCGUGAGUGAUGAAGGCCCUAGGGUUGUAAAGC
Molecule: ribosomal RNA, 373 nt
Filed under: Aquamicrobium lusatiense
Lineage: Bacteria; Pseudomonadati; Pseudomonadota; Alphaproteobacteria; Hyphomicrobiales; Phyllobacteriaceae
Description: bacterial SSU rRNA
Rfam family: Bacterial small subunit ribosomal RNA
Source: RNAcentral